UUGACGCUGAUGGCUGGGCCUGCUUGGGUUUGCUCCUUGAACACUGAAUGGAAGGAACUGUUUGAAGUUUAAACCAACUACCAUCCAUUAUGAUCUGGAAGAAAACAUUAUUUUUACACAAUGCGUGUGGAAAUAUUCCCAACGUUUCAGCAGCCUGAACCAGUUCUGCUCCUUUGUACUGUGAAUUUAUGUGUGGCUCUAGUAAAUCCAUAUUUCAAUCUGUCCCUUUCAGUUCACAGACUGAGUGUUCUUCGAGGUAGCAAAGUCCAUUUAUCCCGUGUUUACAGUGGGUACCUCAGAGGCUCUGGGCUGGAGAGAUGGCUCAGUGGUUAAGAGCACCGUCUGCUCUUCCCAAGGUCCUGGGCUCAAUUCCCAGCACCCACACGGUAGCUCACAACUGCCUGCAACUCCAGUUCCAGAGGAUCUGACACCUUCACAUCAAUGCCCAUAAAAUAAAGUUAAAUAAAUCAUUUAAAAGAUGUUUCCAUGUUUUUAAGUCAUUUUCAACUGCUGUGGCAAGAGGUGGAGGCAGGAGGAUCAGGAGUUCAAGGCCAGCCUUAGCUAUGCAGCAAGUUUGAGACUGGUCUGGACUACAUGAGACUGUCUCAAAGGAAAAAGAAAAAAAGAAA
Rattus norvegicus (Norway rat) is the source of this 629-nucleotide non-coding RNA. The record is from RefSeq and is a predicted model, not a curated record. NCBI's taxonomy places the organism in Eukaryota, Metazoa, Chordata, Mammalia, Rodentia, Muridae.